AACGAACGCUGGCGGCAUGCCUAACACAUGCAAGUCGAACGAGACCUUCGGGUCUAGUUGCGCACGUGUGCGUAACGCGUGGGAACCUGCCCUUAGGUUCGGAAUAACUCCCCGAAAGGGGUGCUAAUACCGGAUAAUGUCUUCGGACCAUAGAUUUAUCGCCUUUGGAUGGGCCCGCGUUGGAUUAGCUAGUUGGUAGGGUAAAAGCCUACCAAGGCGACGAUCCAUAGCUGGUCUGAGAGGAUGAUCAGCCACACUGGGACUGAGACACGGCCCAGACUCCUACGGGAGGCAGCAGUGGGGAAUAUUGGACAAUGGGCGAAAGCCUGAUCCAGCAAUGCCGCGUGAGUGAUGAAGGCCUUAGGGUUGUAAAGCUCUUUUACCCGGGAUGAUAAUGACAGUACCGGGAGAAUAAGCUCCGGCUAACUCCGUG
Molecule: ribosomal RNA, 433 nt
Filed under: uncultured bacterium
Lineage: Bacteria
Description: partial 16S ribosomal RNA
Rfam family: Bacterial small subunit ribosomal RNA
Source: RNAcentral